RNAcentral lists this ribosomal RNA (301 nucleotides) under uncultured bacterium. RNAcentral's name for it is "partial 16S ribosomal RNA". It matches the Rfam family "Bacterial small subunit ribosomal RNA", at positions 509 to 807 of the family's 1533-position model. The record is from RNAcentral.
CAGCCGCCACGGUAAUACGAAGGGUGCAAGCGUUAAUCGGAAUUACUGGGCGUAAAGCGUGCGUAGGCGGUGAGUUAAGUCUGCUGUGAAAUCCCCGGGCUCAACCUGGGAAUGGCAGUGGAUACUGGCUCGCUAGAGUGUGUCAGAGGAUGGUGGAAUUCCCGGUGUAGCGGUGAAAUGCGUAGAGAUCUGGAGGAAUACCGAUGGCGAAGGCAGCCAUCUGGCCUAAUACUGACGCUGAGGUACGAAAGCAUGGGGAGCAAACAGGAUUAGAUACCCCUGUAGUCCCUGUCUCUUAUAC